RNAcentral lists this ribosomal RNA (2366 nucleotides) under Salmonella enterica subsp. enterica serovar Saphra. RNAcentral's name for it is "bacterial LSU rRNA". It matches the Rfam family "Bacterial large subunit ribosomal RNA", at positions 593 to 2925 of the family's 2925-position model. Lineage: Bacteria; Pseudomonadati; Pseudomonadota; Gammaproteobacteria; Enterobacterales; Enterobacteriaceae. The record is from RNAcentral.
GUGACUGCGUACCUUUUGUAUAAUGGGUCAGCGACUUAUAUUCUGUAGCAAGGUUAACCGAAUAGGGGAGCCGGAGGGAAACCGAGUCUUAACCGGGCGUUAAGUUGCAGGGUAUAGACCCGAAACCCGGUGAUCUAGCCAUGGGCAGGUUGAAGGUUGGGUAACACUAACUGGAGGACCGAACCGACUAAUGUUGAAAAAUUAGCGGAUGACCUGUGGCUGGGGGUGAAAGGCCAAUCAAACCGGGAGAUAGCUGGUUCUCCCCGAAAGCUAUUUAGGUAGCGCCUCGUGAAUUCAUCUCCGGGGGUAGAGCACUGUUUCGGCUAGGGGGCCAUCCCGGCUUACCAACCCGAUGCAAACUGCGAAUACCGGAGAAUGUUAUCACGGGAGACACACGGCGGGUGCUAACGUCCGUCGUGAAGAGGGAAACAACCCAGACCGCCAGCUAAGGUCCCAAAGUCAUGGUUAAGUGGGAAACGAUGUGGGAAGGCCCAGACAGCCAGGAUGUUGGCUUAGAAGCAGCCAUCAUUUAAAGAAAGCGUAAUAGCUCACUGGUCGAGUCGGCCUGCGCGGAAGAUGUAACGGGGCUAAACCAUGCACCGAAGCUGCGGCAGCGACGCUGAUGCGUUGUUGGGUAGGGGAGCGUUCUGUAAGCCUGUGAAGGUGUGUCGUGAGGCAUGCUGGAGGUAUCAGAAGUGCGAAUGCUGACAUAAGUAACGAUAAAGCGGGUGAAAAGCCCGCUCGCCGGAAGACCAAGGGUUCCUGUCCAACGUUAAUCGGGGCAGGGUGAGUCGACCCCUAAGGCGAGGCCGAAAGGCGUAGUCGAUGGGAAACGGGUUAAUAUUCCCGUACUUGGUGUUACUGCGAAGGGGGGACGGAGAAGGCUAUGUUGGCCGGGCGACGGUUGUCCCGGUUUAAGCGUGUAGGUGUGUGUUCCAGGUAAAUCCGGUUCACUUUAACACUGAGGCGUGAUGACGAGGCACUACGGUGCUGAAGCAACAAAUGCCCUGCUUCCAGGAAAAGCCUCUAAGCAUCAGGUAACAUCAAAUCGUACCCCAAACCGACACAGGUGGUCAGGUAGAGAAUACCAAGGCGCUUGAGAGAACUCGGGUGAAGGAACUAGGCAAAAUGGUGCCGUAACUUCGGGAGAAGGCACGCUGACAUGUAGGUGAAGUGAUUUACUCAUGGAGCUGAAGUCAGUCGAAGAUACCAGCUGGCUGCAACUGUUUAUUAAAAACACAGCACUGUGCAAACACGAAAGUGGACGUAUACGGUGUGACGCCUGCCCGGUGCCGGAAGGUUAAUUGAUGGGGUCAGCGCAAGCGAAGCUCCUGAUCGAAGCCCCGGUAAACGGCGGCCGUAACUAUAACGGUCCUAAGGUAGCGAAAUUCCUUGUCGGGUAAGUUCCGACCUGCACGAAUGGCGUAAUGAUGGCCAGGCUGUCUCCACCCGAGACUCAGUGAAAUUGAACUCGCUGUGAAGAUGCAGUGUACCCGCGGCAAGACGGAAAGACCCCGUGAACCUUUACUAUAGCUUGACACUGAACAUUGAGCCUUGAUGUGUAGGAUAGGUGGGAGGCUUUGAAGUGUGGACGCCAGUCUGCAUGGAGCCGACCUUGAAAUACCACCCUUUAAUGUUUGAUGUUCUAACGUGGACCCGUAAUCCGGGUUGCGGACAGUGUCUGGUGGGUAGUUUGACUGGGGCGGUCUCCUCCUAAAGAGUAACGGAGGAGCACGAAGGUUGGCUAAUCCUGGUCGGACAUCAGGAGGUUAGUGCAAUGGCAUAAGCCAGCUUGACUGCGAGCGUGACGGCGCGAGCAGGUGCGAAAGCAGGUCAUAGUGAUCCGGUGGUUCUGAAUGGAAGGGCCAUCGCUCAACGGAUAAAAGGUACUCCGGGGAUAACAGGCUGAUACCGCCCAAGAGUUCAUAUCGACGGCGGUGUUUGGCACCUCGAUGUCGGCUCAUCACAUCCUGGGGCUGAAGUAGGUCCCAAGGGUAUGGCUGUUCGCCAUUUAAAGUGGUACGCGAGCUGGGUUUAGAACGUCGUGAGACAGUUCGGUCCCUAUCUGCCGUGGGCGCUGGAGAACUGAGGGGGGCUGCUCCUAGUACGAGAGGACCGGAGUGGACGCAUCACUGGUGUUCGGGUUGUCAUGCCAAUGGCACUGCCCGGUAGCUAAAUGCGGAAGAGAUAAGUGCUGAAAGCAUCUAAGCACGAAACUUGCCCCGAGAUGAGUUCUCCCUGAGACUUUAGGUCUCCUGAAGGAACGUUGAAGACGACGACGUUGAUAGGCCGGGUGUGUAAGCGCAGCGAUGCGUUGAGCUAACCGGUACUAAUGAACCGUGAGGCUUAACCUUACAACGCCGAAG